UAAGGUUNGAUCCUGCUCAGGACGAACGCUGGCGGCUUGCUAACACAUGCAGUCGAGGGGCCAGCAAUGUCACNGGCGAACGGGUGCGNACACGUGAGCAACCUGCCGCGAAGNGGGGAUAGCCGGCCCGACCGCCCGGGUAAUACCGCAUACGAUCNUUGGGGGGAUUCCCUGGGAGAUGAAAGUAUUUCGCUCUGCGAGGGGCUCGCGGCCUAUCAGCUAGUUGGUGCGGUAACGGCGCACCAAGGCGACGACGGGUAGCUGGUCUGAGAGGAUGGCCAGCCACAUUGGGACUGCGACACGGCCCAGACUCCUACGGGAGGCAGCAGUGGGGAAUCUUGCGCAAUGGGCGAAAGCCUGACGCAGCGACGCCGCGUGGGGGAGGAAGGUCUUCGAAUUGUAAACCCCUGUUGCCCGGGACGAAUCCGGCGUUUUGACGCCGUUGACGGUACCGGGUGAGGAAGCACCGGCUAACUCCGUGCCAGCAGCCGCGGUAAUACGGAGGGUGCGAGCGUUGUCUGGAAUCACUGGGCGUAAAGGGCGCGUAGGUGGCGCGGUAAGCGUGUGGUGAAAGCUCGGGGCUCAACCCCGAGUCGGCCAUGCGAACUGCUGGGCUCGAGCACUGUAGAGGCAGACGGAAUUCCGGGUGUAGCGGUGGAAUGCGUAGAGAUCCGGAAGAACACCGGUGGCGAAGGCGGUCUGCUGGGCAGUUGCUGACACUGAGGCGCGACAGCGUGGGGAGCAAACAGGAUUAGAUACCCUGGUAGUC
This 769-nucleotide ribosomal RNA is filed under the name uncultured bacterium. RNAcentral describes it as "bacterial SSU rRNA". It matches the Rfam family "Bacterial small subunit ribosomal RNA", at positions 1 to 795 of the family's 1533-position model. The record is from RNAcentral.